This is a non-coding RNA of Podarcis muralis (Common wall lizard), 3198 nucleotides long. The record is from RefSeq and is a predicted model, not a curated record. Lineage: Eukaryota; Metazoa; Chordata; Lepidosauria; Squamata; Lacertidae.
CAUUUGCUUAAGCGUACUUACAUCUCAGAAUCUGUUUUGAUGCAUGUUUUCCAAUUGCACGGUUUACUGAGGCUGUUUUAAAAAAAAAUAAUCAGCAUUUUUAAAAGUGCCUUGGUAAAAUGACACACACACACACACACACACAGCUCUGAAGGUAGGAGAGAUGCUAUCCCCUUUGUCAAACCCCUUCCUCACCACGCUACCCCUCCAAGCGAGGCCCCUGGAGGAGCCAACCACAAUUUUUGGGGACUAUCGGUUUAUUGUGUGGUAGUGCAAUAUAGUAGGCCCUUUCUUCGACCGACCCCCCCCCCCCGGGUCUCCUUUCAGCAUUUCAGCAGAAGCAGCUCCGCCGCGAGGGGUGUGCGGGGCUGACCCUCGGCAUCUUCACCCUGAGCAAUGUGCAAAAGCAUCCCUCGCGCUCUGCGAGCCUCGCGGCCUUUGACGGCGGCGAGGCAGGAGCAAGGCGAGCGCAGCCGGCUUCAGCUUCCAGCCGAGCCCGGCCUUCUCCCCGCCCGCUCCAUGUUUCCCCCUCCCCGCCCUCCUCACAGCGCGAGAGGGAACAAAAAACAGGCCCUUCCCCGGCCGCUCCCGCUUAAUCUCCCUCCACCCACCGGUUGCCCGGCCAACAAGCCAGACAAGCAGGUGAUCCAUUGACAGGGAGCAGAUGGUCUCCCGCCGAGCCAAUUUUAGAAGAGGACAGGUGCAGCCAGUGAGAACCAAUCUGCUUGCGCAUUGUGAAUAUGAUGUUCCAAAAAUGCCACCACCAAGUUCUGUCUCCAGUGGGGAAGAGAUGGUUGGAAUGGGAGCAAUAGCAUAUCCUCACCUACCUAUCAACCUGGAGACCACCUGUGUACACAUUAAAGAGAAAGCAGAAGACACUGAAGCUGCUAUAGAGUAAACACAGAAAGAAAUGUAGAAUGUCUCGAUUCAGCCAGGAUACAAAGCAGUGUAACUUCAUUAUUUUCAGAGGCUGAAGAAAAUUCAGAAAAUUUUCGUAGGCCAUCCUCAACUGUAAUUAGCCAAUCUCCUUUGAGAGGGAAACAGAUUGUUGUAAGAAUAUUAAACGAUUAAACAACAACAACAAGCCUUUUCCCCAGAUCGGGGUGCAAGGCAGCUUGCAGAUAGAACGGAAACAGCUAAAAUACAAAACCAUUGAUUGGCCAGAUUUCAGAAAUCGGUGACUAUUAUGUAACAGAUGGUCUGACAGACCUCCGACUCUUUGACGUGAUGGCUUGCUUGGCGUAGAACAUAGCGGCAGUGGAUGGGAAGAAAACAGAUGCAACCGUUUUUCAGCAAGUCCUGUAACAACAUAAGGAGAGAGAGGGCUGAAACUCCGUCUUUGGGGGGGGGGCGGAAGGAGGGGAGGCGACCUUUCGAGGAAACGAUGUCCAGUCGGAUCUCCCGCCCCUCCAACACACACACUUGGGACUUCAGCGAGGUCAGUAUUUCACUCUUUCCGAGUUUUCACUUUCCAAAUCGGGUGACCGUGACAUUGACCUCCGUCCGGCCACGAUGGACAAUCACUCCCCUCCUCCUCUGUGGACCAGCCCUAAAUCAAUCGUCGCCGUUGUUUUAGAGACUCUUUUUGUUCAUUUACCAUUAUUCUUUUAAAAAAUAAAUUAAUUAAAAAGGACGUCGUUACGAUGCUCCCCCCCCAGCCAUUAAGGGCAUAAUAAAUAAUUAGGGAGCCUUAAGCAUAUUAGCUACAGCUCAUGCUAAUCAGCGGCCUCGGGUCUCAAACUAACCCGAAGUGACAGGUUUGUUGCAUUUAACAGGAGGAGAGCGGGAUAGAGAUAUUCAAAGCUCCCAUCCCUCGCUCCCUUUUGCAACAUAGGAAAUGAGAAGUGGGGUGAACGCGCUGCAGAGAGCCGUUUGCAAACGUCGACUUCUGGAUCAAACCGAGUUCCUCGGCUGCUGUCACUAUCGCAACUCUAAACGGAACUGCCUGCGUCGCAGAUGCAGCCCACGUCUCGACAGCAAAAAGCAAUAGGUGGAGUAUUGGGGGGGGGUGUCUUUGAAAAUUCGCCCCUCCCCUUUCUACUCCCCCCCAGCAACCUUCCCCGCGCAAAGGACGCCGGGAUCAGGUCGGGGGCAGUUUGCCGACUUGGCUGAGGUCAGUCGUGUGUCCCCAUUGUGCGGCCACGUGUCCCGCGUCCAUCAGCGGCCAAGGCGGCGAGGCUCCUUGCUGCACGGACGGCGAUGGGAGCUCGGCCCGAGGAAGCAAGUCGAGGGAUUCCCAGCCAGGUUUGCUAGGGAAAUCGGACGGCUGGGCGUGCAGAUCCACUGGGCAAAAAGUACAUUAUCUGUCUGCUUUUCACAGACUCCAAGAAGCAGACUUUCCCCCUCUAUUCAGACGUGUGCAAUUUCCUGUGGCCCAAUAAGUCAAAUACUGUAUAAUAAGAAAUCAAGUUGUGCCCAUGCAUCCUCCGCAGCUGUGUUGCUUGCUUCCCUGCAACGCGGGCAAAGUGUGACUUGCACUGUGAUGCUGGAAUAUUAGUCUGAAUAGGAUAAAUCAAUCUGCAGAGUUUGGGAGCUUUCGUCCUUGCCUUGUACCUGGAAAGCAAGGGUGCUGGUUCCUUAAAUGUCUCCAUCCCGACGUUCAAAGCUCACCCUCUCCUCUAUUAGCAUUGGCAGGCUUUUUCCAGAUCAGACUUCCUGGAAAGUUAGGAACAGGGCUGAGAAACUGAAGAGGUUUGGGCUCCCAGUUGCCAUCAGCCUCAACAUGAGUAGCCAAUGGUCAAGGAAGAUGGGAAUUGUAGAUCUGACUAUAGUGAGAUGGUCAUGGGUUCCUCUCCUUUGGUUUUGGAACAUGGGAAGUUGUUUUAUACCAUGUCUGACCAGUAUUGCCAACACUGACUGGCAGCAGCUUUCCAGAGUUUUGGGCAUGGUUGCAUUGCAGGGGUUGCACUAGAGGUAGCCUUAGGGAACCUCCCCACUCUAUGAUUCUGUGAUUCCCAGUCCUACCUGGAGGUACAGGGCGAUUGAGCCUGACCUGGGAUCUUUCGCAUGCACAGCAUGUGGUCUAUCACUGGGGUGGAGUCAAGGAAGGAAGGACUUGGCAAGAGUUGUAUAAAACUAUGCACAGUCUGGGGACAGUUGAUAAAAGAGUGAUUUCCCCCCUCUUUGAUAGGACAGUGGUACCUCGGGUUACAUACGCUUCAGGUUACAUACGCUUCAGGUUACAGACUCCGCUAACCC